Molecule: non-coding RNA, 137 nt
Organism: Triticum aestivum (bread wheat)
Lineage: Eukaryota; Viridiplantae; Streptophyta; Magnoliopsida; Poales; Poaceae
Source: Rfam
UAGCUACUCCCUCCGCCCCGAACUACUUGUCUUAGAUUUGUCUAGAUACGGAUGUAUCUUGACAGAUAAAACGUGUCUAGAUACAUCCGUAUCUAGACAAAUCUAAGACAAGUAAUUCGGGACUGAGGUAAUAGCUU